AUGAAUAUCUUAUCUUGGAACUGUCGGGGUUUCGCAUUGGCCUCAACAGUUGGAGAGUUGCGGGACCUUGUUCGGUCUCACAAUCCUGCGGUGGUAUUCCUUUGUGAAACUAAAAAGAAGUCUAGGGCGAUGGAACGGAUAUGGUGGAGUUUGGGCUUUCAGAAUGGGGUUGCGGUUGAUUGUGUGGGGCAAAGUGGAGGCUUAGCGUUGUGGUGGAGAGACCACGUUAGUGUCACUGUUCGCCCGUGGUGUCAAUACUUCAUAGAUGCUACUAUUGUUCAUGAGGGGAAAACCGUUAGAUUCACUGGUUCCUACGGUGAGCCAAGGACGGAGCUUCAGAAUAAAUCGUGGGAGGCGAUACGCUAUUUGAGAUCGCAGGACGACCUGCCCUAG
This 393-nucleotide ribosomal RNA is filed under the name Triticum aestivum (bread wheat). RNAcentral describes it as "partial small subunit ribosomal RNA". The record is from RNAcentral. Lineage: Eukaryota; Viridiplantae; Streptophyta; Magnoliopsida; Poales; Poaceae.